AAACAACCUCCUAUGUUUUGAUUCUUUGGCAGUUUUGGACCCCAAGGCAAAAAAUAAAAAUAAAAAAAUUGACACGUAGCACCUCACUUAGGGUGUCACGUCAGCGUUGACCGAGUCAACAAUGGACUGGGGGUCCAAAAUUGUCAAAGAAUCAAAACAUAGGGAGCUGUUU
This is a microRNA precursor of Medicago truncatula (barrel medic), 172 nucleotides long. It matches the Rfam family "MIR2619 microRNA precursor family". NCBI's taxonomy places the organism in Eukaryota, Viridiplantae, Streptophyta, Magnoliopsida, Fabales, Fabaceae. The record is from Rfam.